Molecule: unclassified non-coding RNA, 253 nt
Filed under: uncultured Bacteroidota bacterium
Lineage: Bacteria; Pseudomonadati; Bacteroidota
Description: uncultured Bacteroidetes bacterium contains 16S-23S intergenic spacer region
Rfam family: Bacterial small subunit ribosomal RNA
Source: RNAcentral
UACGGAGGGUCCACGCGUUGUCCGGAAUUAUUGGGUGUCAAGGGUCCGCAGGCGGGACAGCAAGUCGGAGGUGAAAUCUCUCGGCUCCACCGAGAAAGUGCCUUCGAUACUGCUGUCCUUGAGUCCCGGAGAGGCUCCGGGAAUUCGUGGUGUAGCGGUGAAAUGCGUAGAUAUCACGAGGAACACCAGAAGCGAAAGCGAGGAGCUGGACGGGUACUGACGCUCAGGGACGAAAGCGUGGGGAGCAAACAGG